UACAGAGGGGGCAAGCGUUGUUCGGAAUUACUGGGCGUAAAGGGCGCGUAGGCGGCCUUCUAAGUCGAACGUGAAAUCCCUGGGCUCAACCCCGGAACGGCAUCCGAGACGGCCAGGCUGGAGACCGGGAGAGGAGAGUGGAAUAGCCAGUGUAGAGGUGAAAUUCGUAGAUAUUGGCUGGAACACCGGUGGCGAAAGCGGCUCUCUGGCCCGGUUCUGACGCUGAGGCGCGAAAGCGUGGGGAGCAAACAGG
RNAcentral lists this ribosomal RNA (253 nucleotides) under uncultured bacterium. RNAcentral's name for it is "partial 16S ribosomal RNA". It matches the Rfam family "Bacterial small subunit ribosomal RNA", at positions 524 to 776 of the family's 1533-position model. The record is from RNAcentral.